This 74-nucleotide transfer RNA is filed under the name Helianthus annuus (common sunflower). Its description in RNAcentral is "tRNA HanXRQr2_Chr12g0546961". It matches the Rfam family "tRNA". From Rfam's summary of the family: Transfer RNA (tRNA) molecules are approximately 80 nucleotides in length. Their secondary structure includes four short double-helical elements and three loops (D, anti-codon, and T loops). Lineage: Eukaryota; Viridiplantae; Streptophyta; Magnoliopsida; Asterales; Asteraceae. The record is from RNAcentral.
AUGGGGCGUAGCCAAGCGGUAAGGCAACGGGUUUUGAUCCCGCUAUUCGGAGGUUCGAAUACUUCCGUCCCAGA